CCUCUAGGAAGUGCAGGUGGACUGGGGAGAAUAAAACUUUUAUAUUUUACCUGGUAGCAUCCUGAAUUUAGCUGCUAGAUAAAGAUAUUAAGAUAAUUGCUGUGGGGACUUCCCUGGUGGUCCAGUGGUUAAGAAUUCACCUUGCAAUGAAGGGAUAUGGGUUCAAUCCCUGGUCUGGGAAGAUCCUACAUGCUGUGGAGCAACUAAGCCUGUGCACCACAACUACUAAGCCUGUGCUCCAGAGCCCAGGAGCUACAGUUACUGAAGCCUGCGAACCCAGUGAAGCCUGCGAACCCAGUGAAGCCUGUAAACCUUCUGUUGUGCUCAGCAACAAGAGAAGCCACUGUAGCGAGAAGCCCAGGCCCCGCAACUGGAGAGUAGACCCCCUCACCUCAACUAGAGAAAAUCCGAGCAGUGACAAGGUUCCAGCACAGCCAAAAACAAAUGAUGGAAAGAAGAGAUGGACGUGAGGGUCUCCAUGCGUGCAUGCUGCACGAUAAGUCGUCGCUUCGUGUCUGACUCUGUGCAACCCCAUGGACUGUAGCCCGCCAGGCUCCUCUGUCCAUGGGAUUCUCCAGGCAAGAAUACUGGAGUGGGUUGCCAUGCCCUCCUCCAGGGGAUCUUCCUGACCUAGGGAUGGAACCCACAUCCCCUUUAUCUCCUGCAUUGGCAGGAGGAUUCUUUACCUCUAGUGCCAGCUGGGAAGCCCAAUGAGGGUCUCCAGAUCCUGCUAAUUUGUCACACGUGUACUAACCUUUCACCUCAAUACCCCUUCCUUUCUCCUAAUGACAACUAUCUGCUUGGUCGUGUGUGACAAAGCUCUCCAUAUCUACUUUAUGGAUGAGGUUUUGAUACUCAGAAUGCUUUGAUCUUACUCCUCCAGGACAAAGAAGGAAGUUGAAUAAUUCCGAUGACUAUUUCUUGUCUUCAUUACAUAUUUUUUACAACUAGAUACGGCUUCUAGGGAAAAGAUAAUGUCUGUCCAGCUGCACAUUUGUUGCCCAUAAUUUGAUAAUCCGUGCGGAAAACAGAAGUUGGCUGAUGCUGACUCCACAGCAGGGACAUGUAGGGUAAAAAGCAGACGAACUUCAAAGGCCUUGGUUAGAACUUGGCUCUAAUGCUUGUCAUGUGACUCUUUCGACCUUUUCUCAAGAGUUUUACAAUCUGUGAAAUGAAGCAGUUGGACUGUAAUCUUGGAAAUCUUUCCAGCUCUAACAUUCAAUGAUCAGAACUUUAAAUCUGGUGCAUGUUUUUCAAAAUUUGGAACCUUAGUUUCCACUCUUUGAGAAUUAACUGGGGAAGUUUCAUAGGCUCAAAAAAAUAACCAGUAGUUAACUGUUCUGCUUGUGCCCUCCUUCUGCACGUAUUUAGCUGCUUCUCUACAUGUACUGGGCAGACUGAUGCUGGGUUACAGGCACAGUUUGAAUGUGUCAUUUCAUAAAACUUUGGUAAGAAUGUAAA
This is a long non-coding RNA of Bos taurus (domestic cattle), 1461 nucleotides long. The record is from Ensembl. NCBI's taxonomy places the organism in Eukaryota, Metazoa, Chordata, Mammalia, Artiodactyla, Bovidae.